This 341-nucleotide long non-coding RNA is filed under the name Homo sapiens (human). RNAcentral's name for it is "non-protein coding lnc-CCDC140-11:1". The record is from RNAcentral. Lineage: Eukaryota; Metazoa; Chordata; Mammalia; Primates; Hominidae.
AGCCUUGGCCGGGCCAGGGGCUGCAUUCUGCCACCUGGGCACCUUGUCUGUAGCUGGUGCCUUAGGCUUGGCCUCCUAAGGGGUGCACACCACUCAGUUCCUGGAUGCCUACUGGAAGGAGCUGUUUGACACGGCCAACACCCACCACUUCUCACAUAGCCUAGCCCUUCUGAGGGGGCUCCAUUGCAGAAGCCCUCUGGGCCAGGUGACUGUUUGCCUCUGAAACCACCUUAUUCUCAGCAGUUUUACUACCAGGCUCUGAGUGAAGACUGCAAUUGGCAGACUUGGCCUUCUGUAGGGGGAGUCGGCCACUCUUGGGCAGACUUGCCUUGGCUCUUUGA